GGCGACAUAGCCAAGCGGUAAGGCGUGGGUCUGCAACACCCUGAUUCACCAGUUCAAAUCUGGUUGUCGCCUCUA
Molecule: transfer RNA, 75 nt
Filed under: Lachnospiraceae bacterium oral taxon 096
Lineage: Bacteria; Bacillati; Bacillota; Clostridia; Lachnospirales; Lachnospiraceae
Also listed under: 1 other name
Description: tRNA-Cys
Rfam family: tRNA
About the family: Transfer RNA (tRNA) molecules are approximately 80 nucleotides in length. Their secondary structure includes four short double-helical elements and three loops (D, anti-codon, and T loops).
Source: RNAcentral